RNAcentral lists this small nuclear RNA (21 nucleotides) under Arabidopsis thaliana (thale cress). Its description in RNAcentral is "snRNA_15486". Lineage: Eukaryota; Viridiplantae; Streptophyta; Magnoliopsida; Brassicales; Brassicaceae. The record is from RNAcentral.
UACAAAUAAAUAAAUGUACAC